GGCGCUAUACCCAAGUGGUCUAAGGGAAUGGUUUGCAAAACCAUGACUCACCGGUUCGAAUCCGGUUAGCGCCUCCA
This 77-nucleotide transfer RNA is filed under the name Deltaproteobacteria bacterium. RNAcentral's name for it is "tRNA-Cys". It matches the Rfam family "tRNA". Rfam says of the family: Transfer RNA (tRNA) molecules are approximately 80 nucleotides in length. Their secondary structure includes four short double-helical elements and three loops (D, anti-codon, and T loops). The record is from RNAcentral. Lineage: Bacteria; Pseudomonadati; Myxococcota; Myxococcia.